AACGAACGCUGGCGGCAUGCCUAACACAUGCAAGUCGAACGAGACCUUCGGGUCUAGUGGCGCACGGGUGCGUAACGCGUGGGAACCUGCCCUUAGGUUCGGCAUAACUCCCCGAAAGGGGUGCUAAUACCGGAUAAUGUCUUCGGACCAAAGAUUUAUCGCCUUUGGAUGGGCCCGCGUUGGAUUAGCUAGUUGGUAGGGUAAAAGCCUACCAAGGCGACGAUCCAUAGCUGGUCUGAGAGGAUGAUCAGCCACACUGGGACUGAGACACGGCCCAGACUCCUACGGAAGGCAGCAGUGGGGAAUAUUGGACAGUGGGCGAAAGCCUGAUCCAGCAAUGCCGCGUGAGUGAUGAAGGCCUUAGGGUUGUAAAGCUCUUUUACCCGGGAUGAUAAUGACAGUACCGGAAGAAUAAGCUCCGGCUAACUCCGUG
Molecule: ribosomal RNA, 433 nt
Filed under: uncultured bacterium
Lineage: Bacteria
Description: partial 16S ribosomal RNA
Rfam family: Bacterial small subunit ribosomal RNA
Source: RNAcentral